GCCCAGGUGGCGGAACUGGUAGACGCGCUAGUUUCAGGGACUAGUAACAGCAAUGUUGUGCAAGUUCGAUUCUUGUCCUGGGCACGA
This 87-nucleotide transfer RNA is filed under the name Candidatus [Bacteroides] periocalifornicus. Its description in RNAcentral is "Candidatus Bacteroides periocalifornicus tRNA-Leu". It matches the Rfam family "tRNA". From Rfam's summary of the family: Transfer RNA (tRNA) molecules are approximately 80 nucleotides in length. Their secondary structure includes four short double-helical elements and three loops (D, anti-codon, and T loops). The record is from RNAcentral. Lineage: Bacteria; Pseudomonadati; Bacteroidota.